RNAcentral lists this ribosomal RNA (136 nucleotides) under uncultured eukaryote. Its description in RNAcentral is "partial 18S ribosomal RNA". It matches the Rfam family "Eukaryotic small subunit ribosomal RNA", at positions 1299 to 1458 of the family's 1831-position model. The record is from RNAcentral.
UCGUGGGAGUGACCUGUCUGCUUAAUUGCGAUAACGAACGAGACCUUAACCUACUAAAUAGCCAGGCCAGCUUUGGCUGGUCGCCGGCUUCUUAGAGGGACUUUCGGCUUAAGCCGAUGGAAGUGAGGCAAUAACA